RNAcentral lists this ribosomal RNA (468 nucleotides) under uncultured bacterium. RNAcentral's name for it is "partial 16S ribosomal RNA". It matches the Rfam family "Bacterial small subunit ribosomal RNA", at positions 28 to 507 of the family's 1533-position model. The record is from RNAcentral.
GACGAACGCUGGCGGCGUGCUUAACACAUGCAAGUCGAACGGAAAGGCCCUGCUUUUGUGGGGUGCUCGAGUGGCGAACGGGUGAGUAACACGUGAGUAACCUGCCCUUGACUUUGGGAUAACUUCAGGCAACUGGGGCUAAUACCGGAUAGGAGCUCCUGCUGCAUGGUGGGGGUUGGAAAGUUUCGGCGGUUGGGGAUGGACUCGCGGCUUAUCAGCUUGUUGGUGGGGUAGUGACUUACCAAGGCUUUGACGGGUAGCCGGCCUGAGAGGGUGACCGGCCACGUUGGGACUGAGAUACGGCCCAGACUCCUACGGGAGGCAGCAGUGGGGAAGAUUGCACAGUGGGCGGAAGGCUGAUGUAGCAACGCCGCGUGCGGGAUGACGGCCUGCGGGUUGUAAACCGCUGUCGCCUGUGACGAAGCGUGAGUGACGGUAAUGGGUAAAGAAGCACCGGCUAACUACGUG